This 6003-nucleotide long non-coding RNA is filed under the name Homo sapiens (human). RNAcentral's name for it is "HSALNT0304185". Lineage: Eukaryota; Metazoa; Chordata; Mammalia; Primates; Hominidae. The record is from RNAcentral.
CUCUUUCUCUCAAGGAAGUCAAAAAACACCUGCAGCCUUACUGUCCCCUUGGAAACAAGAUGAACAUCUACAUUUUCUAGAGUGGGACAAGAAUCUCUGUUCAUAUUUAUGUCCCAUGCAUUUGCACGUGGCCGGACAAAGGACUUUGCUUCUGCCAGCACAUCUGUCUUCAGAUAUGAGAGGAAACAGACACAACCUGGAGGCGGCAAAGAAGCAGCUCUUUCUCAAGUGACCUCCUCUAUCUCCCUACUUCCUGGCUAAUGGGGCAGCCUUGAUCCUUGGGAAUCCAGGACAGAUAUCCACUCGUGACAAACUAGCUGGAAGAAUGACAACCAAUCAGGUUCCAAGCACCACUGGAUGUGAACCACAGAAUUUCCUCCUCUCCUUGUGGAAUGUCAGCUUACGUCUGACAAAAAAUGUAAAACUGAGAGAGUUACAAUCUUAAGGAGGAGUCAAGCUAAAGCAGAAAGAAUCACCUACUCUGGACUCCAGCAUGACUGCUGAGCUCAAAUAUAUAUAUAGAGAGAAAGAACCACAAACUUGAAGAUGGAUAUCAGCUACAGACUUUCCUGAGUCAGGUCUCACCUAAGAAAAUAAACACAUGCUAUGUCAGAGAAGCCUCAGGGCUUCCACACCUGCUCGAAAAGGGAGUUGAGCUUCAGCAGCUGACCCAGGACUCUGUUCCCCUUUGGUGAGAAGGGUUUUUGUUCAGCAAGACAAUGGAGAGCUCUCACUGUGGUGGACGUUCGGCCAAGGGACCAAGGUGGAAAUCAAACGUGAGUAGAAUUUAAACUUUGCUUCCUCAGUUGUCUGUGUCUUCUGUUCCCUGUGUCUAUGAAGUGAUCUAUAAGGUGACUCUGCAAUCAGCCUCUGAUAUCCUUCAGGGAAAAGAUAAAGAUAAGUCUGUAGUCAAACUCGAGAAUUGAUUGCACAUUUUCUUUGAAGAGCAAGCAAGAUUCAGUCAUUGGGUGAGAAUAACUUGUCUAAGUAAUAGCUUCAGAAAUGUCCUGGGGAACAUAACAUGUUCUGGACAGAGCCUUGGUCAAUUGUCAGAAAGGGAGUUUUUGUAUAGGAGGGAAGUUAAGAGGAACCAUUGUGUGUGCAGUUUUGGCCAGGGGACCAAGCUGGAGAUCAAACGUAAGUACUUUUUUCCACUGAUUCUUCACUGUUGCUAAUUAGUUUACUUUGUGUUCCUUUGUGUGGAUUUUCAUUAGUCGGAUGCCAGGGAUCUAACAAACUUCAUUCCCAGGUUAGGUACAGAGGAGGGGAAAUUGUUCCACAGGACGCUAGCUUGUGGCUAAUUUUUAAGAUUUCUAAAUCAAAAUAACUUCAUUGGGGGAAAGAGGCUUGCUGAGCUUUCAGGGAGGUUUUUGUAAAGGGAAAAGUUAAGACGAAUCACUGUGAUUCACUUUCGGCCCUGGGACCAAAGUGGAUAUCAAACGUAAGUACAUCUGUCUCAAUUAUUCGUGAGAUUUUAGUGCCAUUGUAUCAUUUGUGCAAGUUUUGUGAUAUUUUGGUUGAAUAAACCUGGUGACCCAGAAGUAAAUAGCAGGACACCAGAAAAUGAACUUAAAAAGCUGAGCAAAUAGACGAAUCAUUGGGUUUGAGAGGAGAAUAGGAUUCAUGGGGGAAAUGGGGAAGAAAUAGCUAGAUUUUUCUCUGAACAAGCAGCCUAUCUCAUAUGAUUGGCUUCAAGAGAGGUUUUUGUUGAGGGGAAAGGGUGAGAUCCCUCACUGUGGCUCACUUUCGGCGGAGGGACCAAGGUGGAGAUCAAACGUAAGUGCACUUUCCUAAUGCUUUUUCUUAUAAGGUUUUAAAUUUGGAGCGUUUUUGUGUUUGAGAUAUUAGCUCAGGUCAAUUCCAAAGAGUACCAGAUUCUUUCAAAAAGUCAGAUGAGUAAGGGAUAGAAAAUUAGUUCAUCUUAAGGAACAGCCAAGCGCUAGCCAGUUAAGUGAGGCAUCUCAAUUGCAAGAUUUUCUCUGCAUCGGUCAGGUUAGUGAUAUUAACAGCGAAAAGAGAUUUUUGUUAAGGGGAAAGUAAUUAAGUUAACACUGUGGAUCACCUUCGGCCAAGGGACACGACUGGAGAUUAAACGUAAGUAAUUUUUCACUAUUGUCUUCUGAAAUUUGGGUCUGAUGGCCAGUAUUGACUUUUAGAGGCUUAAAUAGGAGUUUGGUAAAGAUUGGUAAAUGAGGGCAUUUAAGAUUUGCCAUGGGUUGCAAAAGUUAAACUCAGCUUCAAAAAUGGAUUUGGAGAAAAAAAGAUUAAAUUGCUCUAAACUGAAUGACACAAAGUAAAAAAAAAAAGUGUAACUAAAAAGGAACCCUUGUAUUUCUAAGGAGCAAAAGUAAAUUUAUUUUUGUUCACUCUUGCCAAAUAUUGUAUUGGUUGUUGCUGAUUAUGCAUGAUACAGAAAAGUGGAAAAAUACAUUUUUUAGUCUUUCUCCCUUUUGUUUGAUAAAUUAUUUUGUCAGACAACAAUAAAAAUCAAUAGCACGCCCUAAGAAAAAUCAGGGAAAAGUGAAGUGUACCUAUUUGCUAUGUAGAAGAGGCAGCUUACUUGAAAAUCAGCAGCAAUGUUGUUUUUAGAGUCUGUAAUAAGUAAUAAACUCAAAAAGACACAUUCUAUAGGAAUAAGGGCUUCACAGAUAGAGCUCAUUUUUUAAAAAUCCAAUUUGUACAUUAGACUAAACGUGAAAUUAUCUCUUAUUGUAAUGGUGGAAAGGUGGUUAUUCCCAAAAGCUCAAUCUCAAAGAAAUGUGUUUAAAUGAAAAAAAGUAAAUAAUUGCAUUUUUUAAUGACCGUGGGUCUGUGAAAAAAAUAGGAAAUAUUUUAAAGAGUAUGUUCUUUCAUUAUCCUCUGUUAUUACUUGUCUACAUUUUUAUUCUGCCAAGAAGGCCGUGGCACCGCGAGCUGUAGACAGAGCCGCGGUCUUUCUCGAUUGAGUGGCUUUGGUGGCCAUGCCACCGCGCUCUUGGGGCAGCCGCCUUGCCGCUAGUGGCCGUGGCCACCCUGUGUCUGCCCGAUUGAUGCUGCCGUAGCCAGCUUUCCUGAUGCACAGUGAUACAAAUAAUGCCACUAAGGGAAAGAGAACAGAAACGUAAUGGGCGCUGAGCUGGGAAAACCAGGGAGAAGACUGAUUUAUUAGAGAUUUCAGAAAUAAAAUUCACAUUCAUUAUGAUAUCUCAUUAGUGAAAAUUUCCAUUAGGGGAUUGUAAAUAAUUUAAAGCUUUUUUUUUUUUCAGUGCUAUUUAAUUAUUUCAAUAUCCUCUCAUCAAAUGUAUUUAAAUAACAAAAGCUCAACCAAAAAGAAAGAAAUAUGUAAUUCUUUCAGAGUAAAAAUCACACCCAUGACCUGGCCACUGAGGGCUUGAUCAAUUCACUUUGAAUUUGGCAUUAAAUACCAUUAAGGUAUAUUAACUGAUUUUAAAAUAAGAUAUAUUCGUGACCAUGUUUUUAACUUUCAAAAAUGUAGCUGCCAGUGUGUGAUUUUAUUUCAGUUGUACAAAAUAUCUAAACCUAUAGCAAUGUGAUUAAUAAAAACUUAAACAUAUUUUCCAGUACCUUAAUUCUGUGAUAGGAAAAUUUUAAUCUGAGUAUUUUAAUUUCAUAAUCUCUAAAAUAGUUUAAUGAUUUGUCAUUGUGUUGCUGUCGUUUACCCCAGCUGAUCUCAAAAGUGAUAUUUAAGGAGAUUAUUUUGGUCUGCAACAACUUGAUAGGACUAUUUUAGGGCCUUUUUAAAGCUCUAUUAAAACUAACUUACAACGAUUCAAAACUGUUUUAAACUAUUUCAAAAUGAUUUUAGAGCCUUUUGAAAACUCUUUUAAACACUUUUUAAACUCUAUUAAAACUAAUAAGAUAACUUGAAAUAAUUUUCAUGUCAAAUACAUUAACUGUUUAAUGUUUAAAUGCCAGAUGAAAAAUGUAAAGCUAUCAAGAAUUCACCCAGAUAGGAGUAUCUUCAUAGCAUGUUUUUCCCUGCUUAUUUUCCAGUGAUCACAUUAUUUUGCUACCAUGGUUAUUUUAUACAAUUAUCUGAAAAAAAUUAGUUAUGAAGAUUAAAAGAGAAGAAAAUAUUAAACAUAAGAGAUUCAGUCUUUCAUGUUGAACUGCUUGGUUAACAGUGAAGUUAGUUUUAAAAAAAAAAAAAACUAUUUCUGUUAUCAGCUGACUUCUCCCUAUCUGUUGACUUCUCCCAGCAAAAGAUUCUUAUUUUACAUUUUAACUACUGCUCUCCCACCCAACGGGUGGAAUCCCCCAGAGGGGGAUUUCCAAGAGGCCACCUGGCAGUUGCUGAGGGUCAGAAGUGAAGCUAGCCACUUCCUCUUAGGCAGGUGGCCAAGAUUACAGUUGACCUCUCCUGGUAUGGCUGAAAAUUGCUGCAUAUGGUUACAGGCCUUGAGGCCUUUGGGAGGGCUUAGAGAGUUGCUGGAACAGUCAGAAGGUGGAGGGGCUGACACCACCCAGGCGCAGAGGCAGGGCUCAGGGCCUGCUCUGCAGGGAGGUUUUAGCCCAGCCCAGCCAAAGUAACCCCCGGGAGCCUGUUAUCCCAGCACAGUCCUGGAAGAGGCACAGGGGAAAUAAAAGCGGACGGAGGCUUUCCUUGACUCAGCCGCUGCCUGGUCUUCUUCAGACCUGUUCUGAAUUCUAAACUCUGAGGGGGUCGGAUGACGUGGCCAUUCUUUGCCUAAAGCAUUGAGUUUACUGCAAGGUCAGAAAAGCAUGCAAAGCCCUCAGAAUGGCUGCAAAGAGCUCCAACAAAACAAUUUAGAACUUUAUUAAGGAAUAGGGGGAAGCUAGGAAGAAACUCAAAACAUCAAGAUUUUAAAUACGCUUCUUGGUCUCCUUGCUAUAAUUAUCUGGGAUAAGCAUGCUGUUUUCUGUCUGUCCCUAACAUGCCCUGUGAUUAUCCGCAAACAACACACCCAAGGGCAGAACUUUGUUACUUAAACACCAUCCUGUUUGCUUCUUUCCUCAGGAACUGUGGCUGCACCAUCUGUCUUCAUCUUCCCGCCAUCUGAUGAGCAGUUGAAAUCUGGAACUGCCUCUGUUGUGUGCCUGCUGAAUAACUUCUAUCCCAGAGAGGCCAAAGUACAGUGGAAGGUGGAUAACGCCCUCCAAUCGGGUAACUCCCAGGAGAGUGUCACAGAGCAGGACAGCAAGGACAGCACCUACAGCCUCAGCAGCACCCUGACGCUGAGCAAAGCAGACUACGAGAAACACAAAGUCUACGCCUGCGAAGUCACCCAUCAGGGCCUGAGCUCGCCCGUCACAAAGAGCUUCAACAGGGGAGAGUGUUAGAGGGAGAAGUGCCCCCACCUGCUCCUCAGUUCCAGCCUGACCCCCUCCCAUCCUUUGGCCUCUGACCCUUUUUCCACAGGGGACCUACCCCUAUUGCGGUCCUCCAGCUCAUCUUUCACCUCACCCCCCUCCUCCUCCUUGGCUUUAAUUAUGCUAAUGUUGGAGGAGAAUGAAUAAAUAAAGUGAAUCUUUGCACCUGUGGUUUCUCUCUUUCCUCAUUUAAUAAUUAUUAUCUGUUGUUUUACCAACUACUCAAUUUCUCUUAUAAGGGACUAAAUAUGUAGUCAUCCUAAGGCGCAUAACCAUUUAUAAAAAUCAUCCUUCAUUCUAUUUUACCCUAUCAUCCUCUGCAAGACAGUCCUCCCUCAAACCCACAAGCCUUCUGUCCUCACAGUCCCCUGGGCCAUGGUAGGAGAGACUUGCUUCCUUGUUUUCCCCUCCUCAGCAAGCCCUCAUAGUCCUUUUUAAGGGUGACAGGUCUUACAGUCAUAUAUCCUUUGAUUCAAUUCCCUGAGAAUCAACCAAAGCAAAUUUUUCAAAAGAAGAAACCUGCUAUAAAGAGAAUCAUUCAUUGCAACAUGAUAUAAAAUAACAACACAAUAAAAGCAAUUAAAUAAACAAACAAUAGGGAAAUGUUUAAGUUCAUCAUGGUACUUAGACUUAAUGGAAUGUCAUGCCUUAUUUACAUUUUUAAACAGGUAC